This 301-nucleotide ribosomal RNA is filed under the name uncultured bacterium. Its description in RNAcentral is "partial 16S ribosomal RNA". It matches the Rfam family "Bacterial small subunit ribosomal RNA", at positions 509 to 807 of the family's 1533-position model. The record is from RNAcentral.
CAGUCGCCGCGGUAAAACGGAGGGUGCAAGCGUUAAUCGGAAUUACUGGGCGUAAAGCGUGCGUAGGCGGUUCGUUAAGUCUGUUGUGAAAGCCCCGGGCUCAACCUGGGAAUGGCAAUGGAUACUGGCGAGCUAGAGUGUGUCAGAGGAUGGUGGAAUUCCCGGUGUAGCGGUGAAAUGCGUAGAGAUCGGGAGGAACAUCAGUGGCGAAGGCGGCCAUCUGGGACAACACUGACGCUGAGGCACGAAAGCGUGGGGAGCAAACAGGAUUAGAUACCCGUGUAGUCCCUGUCUCUUAUAC